UCUUAAAGCAGUUUGCACAACUGUUUUUCAUCGUGAUUAUCAACGUAACAUCUAGUGUCAUGUCGCUGAUGUUUUCUUUAAACCGUGUUUUCUUUAAAUCAAGAUGUACUCUGCGUGCCUGGACCUGAGCUUCUCUUGUCACUGUGGUGUUUUAUCAUUCAGAACGGAUUGGAAUGCAGCUGGGAGACUUUUAAGUGGUAAAUAAUGCAGCCUGGGAGGGGGGCAAACGUGGUUUAAACUUAGUUUCCACAACGGUCUCAACACGAAGAGUGAGACUAAUGAACAAGAGGACACUGAUGCUGGACGAUAUGGACAUCCAAGACAAUGGUGAAUCGGAGCAUCACUGAAACUUCUGCUGCAACAUAGAGAAAUGCAAUUACCAUUUUUUACAUCGCAAGAUUCCACGAACAACAAUGAGAAUAAUGACCAUUCGUCUUUCCUGGCUGAAAAGUGAUUGUCAACGAAAAUACUUGGAAAACGUUUGCUCUCCCUCUUCACAAAUGACAGUAUUUUAGUAUGGGAACUGAUGUUGGGGUCUCAAUCUCCCUCACUGGCACCUCUGAGCACCAGUUAAGAGACUUGAGUGCACAAUGUCGGGUGACACUUCUGUCCAGUAUUUGGGGGAGUGCUGCACGCUCGGAGGAGCAGUUUCCUACUGAGUCUCUGUAGUCCGUGCAUGGUCCACGUGAGAGGACAGUUCCGCGUAUCCGAACACGGCAUUUCCAACUGCGUAGCUCUAAGCCAAAGCUAAUCUUUUUCAACAUUAAUUGCCCCCGUCCUCCUUCAUCAGAGCACCAACUCUCAUUAUUAAUAAAUUAAAAACGGACUCUUGUGGCUUAAUUGG
Non-coding RNA from Chiloscyllium plagiosum (whitespotted bambooshark), 844 nucleotides. Lineage: Eukaryota; Metazoa; Chordata; Chondrichthyes; Orectolobiformes; Hemiscylliidae. The record is from RefSeq and is a predicted model, not a curated record.